GGUGGAAUGCUGGCAAGAAGCAGCGGGAAUACGUAUGUGGCAAGCGUUAUCCGGCGGUAUUGGUCAUAAAGGGCGGCUAGGCGGUUUAUUAAGGCUGAUGUGAAAAUGCGGGGAUGAACUCCGUAGUGCGUUGGAAACUGGUAGUCUAGAGUAUUGGAGAGGUAGGCGGAACUACAAGUGUAGAGGUGAAAUUCGUAGAUAUUUGUAGGAAUGCCAAUUGGGAAGCCAGCUUACUGGACAAAUACUGACGCUGAAGCGCGAAAGCUAGGGGAGCAAACAGGAUUAGAUACCCCUGUAGUC
This 300-nucleotide ribosomal RNA is filed under the name uncultured Steroidobacter sp. Its description in RNAcentral is "bacterial SSU rRNA". It matches the Rfam family "Bacterial small subunit ribosomal RNA", at positions 495 to 795 of the family's 1533-position model. Lineage: Bacteria; Pseudomonadati; Pseudomonadota; Gammaproteobacteria; Steroidobacterales; Steroidobacteraceae. The record is from RNAcentral.